CCUACGGGAGGCAGCAGUGGGGAAUAUUGGGCAAUGGGCGCAAGCCUGAACCAGCAAAGCCGCGUGAAGGAAGAAGGCUUUCGGGUUGUAAACUUCUUUUGGCAGGGAAGAGUAGAAGACGGUACCUGACGAAUAAGCCACGACUAACUACGUGCCAGCAGCCGCGGUAAUAAGUAGGUGGCAAGCGUUGUCCGGAUUUACUGGGUGUAAAGGGCGUGUAGCCGGGUUGACAAGUCAGAUGUGAAAUCCUGCGGCUUAACCGCAGAACUGCAUUUGAAACUGUUGAUCUUGAGUACUGGAGAGGCAGACGGAAUGCCUAGUGUAGCGGUGAAAUGCGUAGAUAUUAGGAGGAACACCAGUGGCGAAGGCGGUCUGCUGGACAGCAACUGACGGUGAGGCGCGAAAGCGUGGGGAGCAAACAGGAUUAGAUACCCGUGUAGUC
Molecule: ribosomal RNA, 442 nt
Filed under: uncultured bacterium
Lineage: Bacteria
Description: partial 16S ribosomal RNA
Rfam family: Bacterial small subunit ribosomal RNA
Source: RNAcentral